This 483-nucleotide long non-coding RNA is filed under the name Pan troglodytes (chimpanzee). RNAcentral's name for it is "long non-coding RNA NONPTRT002596". Lineage: Eukaryota; Metazoa; Chordata; Mammalia; Primates; Hominidae. The record is from RNAcentral.
CGCCAGAUGAUAGACAACCAGGCCAGUAGGAUUAACUAAAUUAAAAUCUUUCCCUGCUCCUCUGAUGUAAGAUAUCUAUAAGAACUGCUUACAAAUCAUAAUGUAGCAGUUUUCAUACCAAGUUUGCAGCUGUUUCCUUAAUUUCCCCCACAAUUAUAUUUUACUGUUAUUUUGUCAAAUUCAUGUCUAGACCGCUGUGACCUCUGAGUAACAAUCUCUGCACCCAGUACUAGAAAGAUUUUAAAUGUUUCUGGAGUAAACACACUAAUUAAACCAAGCAAAUGUGGCCUAGAAAUAAAAUAUACAUACCUAAUAUUUAAACAUCUAGGCAAUGACUUGUAGCAGUUAGCAUGAUACCCACCCAAGUUCUACUAUUUGAAGCUAAGAAGAGACAGAACUUAGCAGCUGAUCAAUUUGCACUUCUACAUGGUCCGCUUGAUCCUAAUGUCAUCCUUCUCUAUCACUGAACAUCUAUGCCUCUUU